Long non-coding RNA from Coffea eugenioides, 490 nucleotides. RefSeq lists it as uncharacterized. NCBI's taxonomy places the organism in Eukaryota, Viridiplantae, Streptophyta, Magnoliopsida, Gentianales, Rubiaceae. The record is from RefSeq and is a predicted model, not a curated record. The transcript is spliced from 2 exons.
UGGACCUUAAUAUCUCUAGCCUUACAGCGUUGACUCCGACACUCAAUCAUUUCACCAAGUCUUAGCCACUUAGCAGUUUUCUGCGAAGGAAUUUGGAAUGGAAUCCUCGAGUACCUCGGCGAGCAAUCUGCUGCACAAUAUUGGUUCAGCACAAUAGACCGGCAAUCUGCUUCAAGUUCAGUUUUCUGCGAAGGAUUUUGGAACGGAAUCCUUGAGUACCUCGGCCUGCAAUCUGCUGCGGACUAUUGCUGGGUUCAGCACAGUACUUCGGCUUUUCAGGAAAAAUCUGCAUCAAAGUUCAGGUGCGUGUGCAUGCUUGUUGAGAUUCAGCUUAACAUUACUGUUUCUUUCUAUCUUUCCAAAUACUCUGUUGCUUAAUCUUUAAUUCCGUAGAGUGGUGUAUAACUAGCUAGUACUUCUUAAAGAUCUCACAUAUUGUACCUUCAACUUUAGCUGGGUGCUUUUAUUUAUCUUUUAGGUGUGGAGUCAA